RNAcentral lists this ribosomal RNA (400 nucleotides) under uncultured bacterium. RNAcentral's name for it is "bacterial SSU rRNA". It matches the Rfam family "Bacterial small subunit ribosomal RNA", at positions 355 to 769 of the family's 1533-position model. The record is from RNAcentral.
UGGGGAAUAUUGGGCAAUGGGCGAAAGCCUGACCCAGCAACGCCGCGUGAGGGAAGAAGGUUUUCGGAUCGUAAACCUCUGUCCUCAGGGACGAAAGAAAUGACGGUACCUGAGGAGGAAGCCCCGGCUAACUACGUGCCAGCAGCCGCGGUAAUACGUAGGGGGCGAGCGUUGUCCGGAAUGAUUGGGCGUAAAGGGCGCGUAGGCGGCCUGUUAAGUCUGGAGUGAAAUUCCUGCUUUCAAGGUAGGAAGUGCUUUGGAAACUGGCGGGCUGGAGUGCAGGAGAGGUUAGCGGAAUUCCCGGUGUAGCGGUGAAAUGCGUAGAGAUCGGGAGGAACACCAGUGGCGAAGGCGGCUAACUGGACUGUAACUGACGCUGAGGCGCGAAAGUGUGGGGAGC